This 532-nucleotide ribosomal RNA is filed under the name uncultured bacterium. RNAcentral describes it as "bacterial SSU rRNA". It matches the Rfam family "Bacterial small subunit ribosomal RNA", at positions 378 to 919 of the family's 1533-position model. The record is from RNAcentral.
AUGUCCUGACCCAGCGACGCCGCGUGCGGGAUGAAGGCCUUCGGGUUGUAAACCGCUUUCAUUAGGGAAGAAGCGAAAGUGACGGUACCUACAAAAGAAGCACCGGCUAACUAUGUGCCAGCAGCCGCGGUAAUACAUAGGGUGCAAGCGUUGUCCGGAAUUAUUGGGCGUAAAGAGCUCGUAGGUCGUUUGUUACGUCGGAUGUGAAAACCUGAGGCUCAACCUCAGGCCUGCAUUCGAUACGGGCAAACUAGAGUUUGGUAGGGGAGACUGGAAUUCCUGGUGUAGCGGUGGAAUGCGCAGAUAUCAGGAGGAACACCAAUGGCGAAGGCAGGUCUCUGGGCCAAUACUGACACUGAGGAGCGAAAGUCUGGGGAGCGAACAGGAUUAGAUACCCUGGUAGUCCAGACCGUAAACGGUGGGCACUAGUUGUGGGAACCUUCCACGGUUUCUGCGACGCAGCUAACGCAUUAAGUGCCCCGCCUGGGGAGUACGAUCGCAAGAUUAAAACUCAAUGAAAAUUUGACGGACU